AGCCCCGCCCACCCGAGCCGCCCAAACCAACCGCUCGCCGGGGAGAAAAGGGAAGAAACGAAGGCCCGCUCGGGUCGCCGCAGAGAGAUAUACAUAGGUAAGAACAGGAAACCAUGUUUCAAGAAUUACAAUUGCCAGUCUGCUCUGACAGGUCUGUGAGGAAACCUGGGAUUCCAUCAAUUUGCAAAACAAGAAAGCAAGCAAUUUUGUAUCAAUUAAUGUAGAAUGAUAUAAAACAUAUUAAAAUAUGUCACUUUGGUGUGGGUGCGUGGGUGUUAUUUAACAAUUAUUCUUAUACUUUAAAAAAUAAAAACAAAAAGUUAAAAAAUGCAGAUCUGUCUUGCUGACCUUCAAGUGAAUUUUGCAUAACCUUCAACAGAAUUCUGCUUGAAUCAGUUAGAAAUUGUUGAAAGUGCGUCUCAGGUGAACAAAGUUGUUGCCUUUUCUAAACCUAGGAGUUGUAUCACUGGAAAAAUUCAUCACUGUGAUUCUAAGGCAAGUGUGAGAUGUCUGACUCAUUCUCCAGAUCAGGUCUCUUUCAUUUAAACUAUGCCAUCUUUCUACCUAAAGUCUCCAGCUCAGCCCUUCACCAGCCUGGUGCCUUCCAGAUUUUUGGGACUACAGUUCUCAUCAGCCCCAGCCAGUUGAGUUGUAGUCCAAAACAUCUGGUGUGAAAACAAAUUUGGAAAUACAA
Molecule: long non-coding RNA, 694 nt
Organism: Podarcis muralis (Common wall lizard)
Lineage: Eukaryota; Metazoa; Chordata; Lepidosauria; Squamata; Lacertidae
Source: RefSeq, a predicted model, not a curated record